RNAcentral lists this ribosomal RNA (916 nucleotides) under uncultured bacterium. RNAcentral's name for it is "bacterial SSU rRNA". It matches the Rfam family "Bacterial small subunit ribosomal RNA", at positions 246 to 1155 of the family's 1533-position model. The record is from RNAcentral.
UUGUUGGUAAGGUAAAGGCUUACCAAGGCUUCGAUCAGUAGCUGGUCUGAGAGGACGGCCAGCCACACUGGGACUGAGACACGGCCCAGACUCCUACGGGAGGCAGCAGUGGGGAAUUUUGGACAAUGGGGGAAACCCUGAUCCAGCCAUGCCGCGUGAGUGAAGAAGGCUUUCGGGUUGUAAAGCUCUUUCAGCCGGAACGAAACGGUUACGGAUAAUACCCGUGACUACUGACGGUACCGGAAGAAGAAGCACCGGCUAACUACGUGCCAGCAGCCGCGGUAAUACGUAGGGUGCGAGCGUUAAUCGGAAUUACUGGGCGUAAAGCGUGCGCAGGUGGUUUUGUAAGUCAGAUGUGAAAGCCCCGGGCUCAACCUGGGAACUGCGUUUGAAACUACAAGACUAGAGUGUGGCAGAGGGGGGUGGAAUUCCGCGUGUAGCAGUGAAAUGCGUAGAGAUGUGGAGGAACACCGAUGGCGAAGGCAGCCCCCUGGGUUAACACUGACACUCAGGCACGAAAGCAUGGGGAGCAAACAGGAUUAGAUACCCUGGUAGUCCAUGCCCUAAACGAUGUCAACUAGUUGUCGGGCCUUUACGGGCUUGGUAACGUAGCUAACGCGUGAAGUUGACCGCCUGGGGAGUACGAUCGCAAGAUUAAAACUCAAAUGAAUUGACGGGGACCCGCACAAGCGGUGGAUUAUGUGGAUUAAUUCGAUGCAACGCGAAAAACCUUACCUACCCUUGACAUGUAUCGAAGCCCGCAGAAAAGCGGGGGUGCCCGAAAGGGAACGAUAACACAGGUGCUGCAUGGCUGUCGUCAGCUCGUGUCGUGAGAUGUUGGGUUAAGUCCCGCAACGAGCGCAACCCUUGUCAUUAAUUGCCAUCAUUUAGUUGGGCACUUUAAUGAGACUGCCGG